UUUUCCCUUCAUAGUACUGUUACUGCUGCUGCUGCUUAUUGCGGCUACUGAUAUUGUCAGUUGUGUUAAUACUGACAGUGGCAAGCACCCGCCAUGUGCUGGACUCUCUGCUGACCUGUAUGCGUUACCUUUGGUAAACCCCACAACGAUCCUAUGAGGGAGGUGCUGUUGUAUUUCCCCAUUUGGCAUGUAAGCAAAGAGUCUCAGAGAUUUGAUGGAGGAGUAGGGGGUAGAUUCUGGGUUUGUCUACCUCUAAAACCCAAGCUCUUACCCCCUGUAUUGUAUUUGGAGUUUGUGGAAUUGACUAACCUCUGGCUCCCCCACCAGACUGGGAGGUCUGCACAGGUAGGAAGCACGUCUGAUUGCUUCACCACUAUGUCCCCAGGGCAAUGAUUUUUUUAUAAAAAAUAAUGCGAGGUAUCGUACAUGAGUUUGUUUAGGCUUUAUUGCUCUGAAGCCAAUGGAGGAAAAGAAAAGGAAAAUAUGGACCUGCCCUGAGAUGACUUUAUGGGGAUUGGGGUGCAUCUGUCUACGGGGGGGCAGCCCAGUUGCUUGUUGGCAAUUGGGAAUACAAGCUCACUGGCACCGGAUCUUUCAGGGUGAGGUUGGACCUUUAAAAAAACCACGUUGAUUGUGUUGACUGGCUGUUGUUUCUUGGCAAACUAUCUUUCCUUAUAACUAUUUUUUUCUUUUGGAGCAUUCCUUUUUUUUUCUUUUUCUUUUUCACGUCAUCUUUUAACAUAGUAAAUAAAAUGUGCACGUCUA
Herpailurus yagouaroundi (jaguarundi) is the source of this 765-nucleotide long non-coding RNA. RefSeq lists it as uncharacterized. The record is from RefSeq and is a predicted model, not a curated record. The transcript is spliced from 3 exons. Lineage: Eukaryota; Metazoa; Chordata; Mammalia; Carnivora; Felidae.